UACGAAGGGGGCUAGCGUUGCUCGGAAUCACUGGGCGUAAAGGGCGCGUAGGCGGCUUUAUAAGUCGGGGGUAAAAGCCUGUGGCUCAACCACAGAAUUGCCUUCGAUACUGUAGAGCUUGAGACCGGAAGAGGUAAGUGGAACUGCGAGUGUAGAGGUGAAAUUCGUAGAUAUUCGCAAGAACACCAGUGGCGAAGGCGGACUUACUGGUCCGGUUCGUGACGCUGAGGUGCGAGAGCGUGGGGAGCGAACCGG
This 255-nucleotide ribosomal RNA is filed under the name uncultured bacterium. RNAcentral's name for it is "partial 16S ribosomal RNA". It matches the Rfam family "Bacterial small subunit ribosomal RNA", at positions 524 to 776 of the family's 1533-position model. The record is from RNAcentral.